CGACCGGCGCACGGGUGAGUAACACGUAUCCAACCUGCCGAUGACUCGGGGAUAGCCUUUCGAAAGAAAAGAUUAAUACCCGAUGGCAUAGUUCUUCCGCAUGGUAGAACUAUUAAAGAAUUUCGGUCAUCGAUGGGGAUGCGUUCCAUUAGCUUGUUGGCGGGGUAACGGCCCACCAAGGCAUCGAUGGAUAGGGGUUCUGAGAGGAAGGUCCCCCACAUUGGAACUGAGACACGGUCCAAACUCCUACGGAAGGCAGCAG
Molecule: ribosomal RNA, 262 nt
Filed under: uncultured bacterium
Lineage: Bacteria
Description: partial 16S ribosomal RNA
Rfam family: Bacterial small subunit ribosomal RNA
Source: RNAcentral